AAGUCGUAACAAGGUUUCCGUAGGUGAACCUGCGGAAGGAUCAUUAGUGAAGUCUACAUGGAGCGCUGUUAAUUCAGGCUCCGACAACACUUUUCAUACACCUGUGCAUCUGACCCUAUUUUAUAUAACGCUAAUGUAAAGUCAAAGGAAAAUGUGUAUAUCACAACAAACAUAAUUUAAAUCAAAACUUUCAACAACGGAUCUCUUGGCUCUC
RNAcentral lists this unclassified non-coding RNA (214 nucleotides) under fungal sp. Its description in RNAcentral is "partial internal transcribed spacer region". The stretch from base 1 to 46 matches the Rfam family "Eukaryotic small subunit ribosomal RNA", at positions 1786 to 1831 of the family's 1831-position model. The record is from RNAcentral. Lineage: Eukaryota; Fungi.